RNAcentral lists this ribosomal RNA (301 nucleotides) under uncultured bacterium. RNAcentral's name for it is "partial 16S ribosomal RNA". It matches the Rfam family "Bacterial small subunit ribosomal RNA", at positions 509 to 809 of the family's 1533-position model. The record is from RNAcentral.
CAGUCGCCGCGGGAAUACGAAGGGUGCAAGCGUUAAUCGGAAUUACUGGGCGUAAAGCGCGCGUAGGUGGUUCAUUAAGUUGGAUGUGAAAGCCCUGGGCUCAACCUGGGAAUUGCAGUGGAUACUGGGUCACUAGAGUGUGGUAGAGGAUAGUGGAAUUUCCGGUGUAGCAGUGAAAUGCGUAGAGAUCGGAAGGAACAUCUGUGGCGAAGGCGACUAUCUGGGCCAACACUGACACUGAGGCACGAAAGCGUGGAGAGCAAACAGGAUUAGAUACCCGCGUAGUCCCUGUCUCUUAUAA